RNAcentral lists this ribosomal RNA (383 nucleotides) under Arthrobacter sp. R-22896. RNAcentral describes it as "bacterial SSU rRNA". It matches the Rfam family "Bacterial small subunit ribosomal RNA", at positions 28 to 410 of the family's 1533-position model. Lineage: Bacteria; Bacillati; Actinomycetota; Actinomycetes; Micrococcales; Micrococcaceae. The record is from RNAcentral.
GAUGAACGCUGGCGGCGUGCUUAACACAUGCAAGUCGAACGAUGAUCUCCAGCUUGCUGGGGGGAUUAGUGGCGAACGGGUGAGUAACACGUGAGUAACCUGCCCUUGACUCUGGGAUAAGCCUGGGAAACUGGGUCUAAUACUGGAUACGACCUUCCCACGCAUGUGGUGUUGGUGGAAAGCUUUUGUGGUUUUGGAUGGACUCGCGGCCUAUCAGCUUGUUGGUGGGGUAAUGGCCUACCAAGGCGACGACGGGUAGCCGGCCUGAGAGGGUGGACGGCCACACUGGGACUGAGACACGGCCCAGACUCCUACGGGAGGCAGCAGUGGGGAAUAUUGCACAAUGGGCGCAAGCCUGAUGCAGCGACGCCGCGUGAGGGAUG